Pygocentrus nattereri (red-bellied piranha) is the source of this 3491-nucleotide long non-coding RNA. NCBI's taxonomy places the organism in Eukaryota, Metazoa, Chordata, Actinopteri, Characiformes, Serrasalmidae. The record is from Ensembl.
UGAUUCUUUCAGAGUCGCUUUUUCCUCAGUUCUCUUUCACUCUGACAUUCUGUGCAUGAUAUUAAGAGAAUGUGGACAAGUGAGUGACUCUUACUCGAGCUGUGCAUCAGAAAGAUGUGUAUAACUUCUGGACUGUGUGUGUUUUUCAUUUUAUUUUUGGGGAGGACAACAGGUGCAAAAGUUGAACAGAGCUCUACUGUUUUUGCCAACAAAACAGACAAUGUAACAAUUCAAUGCAGCCAUGAUGAUGACAGCCUAACAUAUAUGUAUUGGUAUCAGCAAAAGAGUGACAGUACAGCUAUGGCACUGAUCGGCUACGCUGUUGGCAUGAGUAAGCCAGUCACUGAAGACGGAUUUAAUGAGAGAUUCACACUGAACAGACAGACCAUCCAGAAAGGAGAUCUGACCAUAUCUGAGCUCCUCCAAACUGAUUCUGCUGUUUAUUACUGUGCAGCUAGUAAGCACAGUGGUGCACAUACUGUCAACCCCAAACACCAAACUCACAGGAACUUCAAACUGCAUAAUAGUUCAACAGAUCUCAUCACUCCUCGCCAAUGAAACAAAGAGCAUAACGAUCACAUGCAGCCAUGAUGACAGUAGCAAAACUGUUAUGUUAUGGUAUCAGCAAAAGACUGACACUACAGCUAUGGCUCUGAUCGGCUACACCGCUACACGCAUGAGUGAUCCGGUCUAUGAAGAUGGAUUUACUAAAGAGCGAAUUAAAUUAAACAGACAAGGAGACACAGAAGGAGAUCUGACCAUCUCUAGACUCCUCCAGUCUGAUUCUGCUGUUUAUUACUGUGCUGCUAAAGAGCACAGUGCUGCAUGUUCAUACGACUACUGUACUAAAACCCCAAACACCAAACACACAGGAAACAGUACAAACUGUUGCUUUAUGCUGAAUUUCUGGUUUGUUAUCUGACAAUAAAGACCUUUCUAUUCAUUUAUGAGUUCAAUUAUAAAACAGGCUGCAGUGCAGUGCAGAAUAUCUAUUAGCACCCUACUAUAUCCUUCCCUCUUUAAAGAGGGAAAAUAUAAAUAGCUAAAGAAGAAAUCCAAUGUGUGUCAAAUGACGAUUCAAAAUGAAACUAUGGAAAUGUAAUAAUUUGGAAUUCAGUUUCUUUUAUGCACCCCUUUCCUCGUUUCUAACCUGGACACAGAUGCCUGCUUUUGGUCUGCAAAAUAAAAUGUGGUGCUUCCUCCUCUGAUCUAAAUAACUUUAAGCAUUUGUGCAUUAUUCAGUCACCCACAAAUAAGCAUGCCGUAAUGCAUAUUUUGUUCUUCCACCUGUUUCCAUAUCAGUUUUAGCACAUCAUUGUCUGCUUAGUCCUGUUUUAUAGCUUUAUAAACUUGUAUAAAGUUAAAGUGUUGCAGUGGAAAUUCAGCACUGGAACUUGCCUAGAAAUAGCUUAAAAAAAAAACCCAAAAAACAUCAGAGCUGUCAAUAAUCCAUCAACUGUAAAAAAAUAUAUAAAAUAAUAGUAAUAAAAAUAAAUAAAUAAAUAAAGUUAGCUAUUGUGCUAAAUUUUCAGUUAAUUGGGCUUCAAAUGUUAAGUUAACAGAAAGAGAACAUGUGUUUUAUCAGCUGUUUUGUCAGCUGAAGUUUAAAUAAUUCAUCACUGUGAGGAAGCCUUAUUUAUUAUUUAUUAUUAUUUAUUCAUUUGCUUAUUUAAUUAUUUAAACAUGGAAAAUAUUUCAACCUAUUAAAUAUUUCAAGACCAUAAUAUUUAAUUUUCUGUGUUCAAAAUGGGUUUAAGAUAGUAAACUACUAGAUCUGUAAAACAUGACUGUUGAUACAACUUAAUUACAUUACUGACUAGCUAAAGGCUUGAUGAUGAUGCACAUUCUUAAACCUUAAAGAUUUAAUACAGACACAGCAAAUUAUCACAAAAUGUGUGUAUGUUCAAACUUUUCAUAAACAUAGUUUGUAUUACAAAGUUUGCACGGGUUCUGCAUUCUUUUGGUUUUCUUUUGAUUUUCUUUUGAAAUCAUAGGUUACAUUGUUAAGCUUUGCCAUUAUGUUUGUUGCUUUGUAACUUAUUAUUGACUCUCUUAUUAUGAGUUUCUCAAAAAUUACUUGGCUUUUAACUUUUAUUUAUGUUACAUUCCCUUUUAGUUUUCGCCAUACACCAUUUCUGGUGAAGUGUUUGCUGGUGAAUUCUGGUGGUGAAGUGAUCGUGCUCCUCCCUCAAACCAUCCUCAGACAUUACAGCAGAGCAAAACUGGAGAAUAUUACACCCAGUUUGAGUCACUUAAGUUCUCUGCUGACUUUCUGUGACUCUGUCUUGAACUGUGCAUCAGCAAGAUGUAUGUUACGUCUAGACUGUGUUUGUUUUUCAUUUUGUUUUUAGGUAUGUCUCACUUACAAUGUUGCAUCAUAAAUGAUUAACUUGUUUUCCAUAUUUUGCAGUGCUAUUCAAGUUUGAUAAUUGUUUUGUCCAUUUUUGUAAUAACUAUCUUUCUUCAACAGGGAGGACAAACUGUGCUGAAAUUGCACAGAGUGCAGCUGUUUUUGCCAAAACAGACAGUGUAACAAUCAAUUGUAGCCAUGGUGACUCUAGCUUAAUAAAUAUGUAUUGGUAUCAGCAAAAGAGAGACAGUACAGCUAUGGCUCUGAUCGGCUACACUACCGGUGUGAGUAAUCCAGCAAACAAAGAAGAUGGAUUUAGUGGGCGAUUCACACUGAACAGACAGAGCAUCCAGAAAGGAGAUCUGACCAUAUCUGAGCUCCUCCAGUCUGAUUCUGCUGUUUAUUACUGUGCAGCCAGUAAACACAGUGCUGCACAUUCAUAUGAUUGUCAUACUAAAACCCCAAAUACCAAACUCACAGGUGCACAAAGCAAUUCUGGUUCAUCUGAUGAGGUUUCAUACUAAAGUUUUUUCCUAUGGAGGAAGUCUGUUCUCUUUCCCAAUGAACAAGAUGUAGGGCUUCUGGUUGACUUUCAGCAUUGGAACGCACCUCAGAGUGUUACAGCCAAUAGUGAACGUACAUGUAGAGCAUGUGCUCUCUGACUUCCCUUUCAGAUUCUUUCAAACUUCAACAGUUUUUUGUUUUUUUUUUGCCUGGGUUUAUGGGUUGUUUGUGGAUGUUGACCCGCUCCACUCCACAUGCACAUCUAAAAAAGAGGCAGUGUGAUAAAGUGGGACUGACUCUCACUCAAACUGUGAAUCAGAAGGAUGUGUGGUGCUCAUGGACUUUGUAUGUUCUUCAUUGUUUUUGUAGAUCCUUGAAAGAAAGGGUGCUAUUAUUGUUAAAGAAUUAUAAAUCUUUUUUCAAGUUUGUCUUUUUUCUUCUUCAGCAGGAACUACAAACAGCGUAACAUUUCAACAGAUCUCAUCACUUUUCACCAAUGAAUCAGACAGCAUAACAAUCGAGUGUAGCCAUUAUGACAGUACCUGUCAUAUUAUGGUAUGAGUAAAAGAGAGACAGUACAGCUAUGGUUCUGAUCGGCUCUGAUGAACCAACAUAUGAAAAUGGAUUUAGAGAGCGG